This is a non-coding RNA of Cinara cedri, 485 nucleotides long. NCBI's taxonomy places the organism in Eukaryota, Metazoa, Arthropoda, Insecta, Hemiptera, Aphididae. The record is from the annotation of a GenBank genome assembly.
CAACGUUGCAAUCACUCCGGUUCCCCUUCAAUACGAAAAAAUCUUUCGCCUUUUACUAAAGAUUUCCGUGGAGGGGAGCAUGCAAAGGAGUCUAGAACUCUAAUUUUUGACAAUGGCCUGAUUCCGAUCGGGCCGAUAAACACUAUGAUCUACCACGCCGCGAGUUGGGCAGGAAAUUCUCACCAGGUCUUUUAAAACAGAGAAUUUUCUCCCAACUCAUGAAAUAUAACAAUACAUCGCUAUCGUAGCCACCAGUCGUGUCACGUUUCAUUUAUUGUCAUUGGUGAUCUCUCUUCAUGGAAAUUGUUCCGUGGUAAUGGUCACCAAUUUAAAUGUAACUCAUCCGUUGACUCGUGCGACACGUAUCGCUGAUUUUCACAAUUUUGUUCAUUCCAUGUACAACCUUUUUAAUACGGAGAUAUUUAACAAGCGAAACGGCUCUAGUUCUGUUCAAGUUUUUUAUUCUCGCAGUACAAAUAUAACUG